This is a non-coding RNA of Acanthosepion pharaonis, 113 nucleotides long. The record is from the annotation of a GenBank genome assembly. NCBI's taxonomy places the organism in Eukaryota, Metazoa, Mollusca, Cephalopoda, Sepiida, Sepiidae.
UAUGGCCAUAUCAUAUUGAAAUACCUGUUCUCAAAUGAUCAUUGAGGUUAAGCAAUAUUGAGCCUGGUCAGUACCAAAAUGGGUGACCACUUGGGAAUACCAGGUUCUGUAAG